CCCCACUCCUGGUAUACCCUUUUGGUGGUGUCAUAGUCUAAAUCCCCAAAUAACCUCGUUUAAACAAACACGUGCAUAAAACUCAAGAUUGCCUGCGUGUUGGAUUACAUACAGAUACAUGAAAUCAGGCAUGGAGACGUUAGCAUGCGUUGUACAUAAACUAAGGCUUUGUCCCACCAGAUGUUGGCAAAAACAGUGAAAUAAUCAUUUUAGUUGAGAAAAUGCAAAGUGGCUUCCAUUUGUUGGAUAGUGAUAAUGUGAUAAAAUAUGGAUAAUAAGUAAAUAAUAAAAGGCACUUGAAGGUAAACUGUCCUUCAUGGCAGUCUCUUGUUCAAAAAUACCUUUAUGUCACAGUAAUAAUGUGGUAAAGAUGUCAAAUGGUUAAAACUGGAAACUCUGUUCUAUGGUCAAAUUAAUCCUGAACUCACCCAGACAAUGGCCAGAUGGAAUCCAGAGCGCCAGAUCUUAUAUGAAUAUAUGAAGUGCAAAACAAAGUCAGCUGUUCAGAUAUUGAGAACAGUACAAUCCUGCCUCCUUCUUGACCUUAGAAUCAAAGUGUCCAUGUAUUCGGCAUAUAUUAUUAAUUUGCCAAUGUGGUGAUAACAAUAAGAUAUGAUAACGGAAUUGUAUUAAUCCCAAAGGAAAUUCUUGCACCAGAGAAUGCAACAAUAAUGCACAGUACAAUAGAAAAAAACCCCAGCAACUACCAGUGGGUACCCCAGGUCGAGAUCAUACACUGGGCCUGGUUUAGGACGAUACAAGUGAUGAAUAUAACCGAAAUAUACAACAUGCAAAGUGUUUAAGGAGUAAAUGCAAUAAACCAGUGCCUAACACACUAACAAUAGAACCAAGAAGAAUGAAGUAGAGUAAACAGAAAAAGGAGCAUUGGCAAUGACAACAUUAAUUGCUACCUGGUGAUUGUGGGGAACAUGGUUAGAAAUUUCUGAGUCUGUCAGCUGUUUUUCUGUAUGGAAGCCCUCCAGGUAACUGACUUUCUGUAAGGAGUAGUUACACUUUUGAGACAGAAGAGGGCGCUCUAAGCCCUUCUUGUAGUCUGUGGGCUGGAGUCCAGCACAGGCCAAGUGAAGGCCUAGACACACUCACCCCUAUAAUUUCACUACAAGGGCGAUGCCUUGGACUCAUGGAUACCCAGUCAUCUGCAUCUGCCACAGGAAAGGCUUCACAGAAAAUAGCUGUAGCUCUUGUAAAGUGGUAUCUAAAAGUGUGUUGCGCUGUAGUCACAUGGGUCCAAGAAGCUUACUGUAGAUGGAAAUUUUCCGAAACUUUCUUAACUUUCGUAUAGGGCUUUUGCGCUGCCGUGUUCACAAACACUGACAGUGCCUGAGUCUGCAUGGAGCCUUCCAGAUGAACUCAUCCAUCACAAAUCCAUCUUAAUAAAUACAGCGAACCCUAGCUGUUGUGAGGAAACAUCAACAAAAGAGCCCUGACAACUGAGAAGAGGGAGGGAGAAGGAUGAGGGCUCACAAUGGAAGAUCAACAUCUCUGCAUCCCCGAAGCCUCACGGACUCUUUCCAAUGGGCUCUUAAUCUAUUAUUCAGUCGCCUAUGGUACAGGAAGAGUUGUUUCUUUUCAGUCCAACACAUCACGCUGUGUAAUAUAAUGAAACCUGAAGCAAGAGGUGGUGGAAUGAUAAUACAAAUUGUUUUUGUUAUUAUUAGGGUUAUUUACUGUACAUUGUUUUUGCUAUUUAGAUUUUUUUUUUUUUUUUUUUUUUAAUUUGACCCUCUUCCUUUUUAAUUGUGUUUUGACAGCAAUUUUGGCUGUCUGCUCAACUCUUUUUUGAUUGUGAUUUGUAUUGUAUGUGUGAAAGGUGCUACAUAAACAAAGUUUCUUAUUCUUGAAUUAAAGGUUAUUUGUUUUGA
This is a long non-coding RNA of Acanthopagrus latus (yellowfin seabream), 1883 nucleotides long. RefSeq lists it as uncharacterized. Lineage: Eukaryota; Metazoa; Chordata; Actinopteri; Spariformes; Sparidae. The record is from RefSeq and is a predicted model, not a curated record. The transcript is spliced from 2 exons.